GGGCCGGUGGUCUAGAUUGGCUAUGAUUCUUGGUUUGGGUCCAAGGGAUCGGGAGUUCAAAUCUCCCCCGACCCACCA
Molecule: transfer RNA, 78 nt
Filed under: Candidatus Thorarchaeota archaeon
Lineage: Archaea; Promethearchaeati; Candidatus Thorarchaeota
Description: tRNA-Pro
Rfam family: tRNA
About the family: Transfer RNA (tRNA) molecules are approximately 80 nucleotides in length. Their secondary structure includes four short double-helical elements and three loops (D, anti-codon, and T loops).
Source: RNAcentral